GACGAACGCUGGCGGCGUGCUUAACACAUGCAAGUCGAACGGAAAGGCCCUGCUUUUGUGGGGUGCUCGAGUGGCGAACGGGUGAGUAACACGUGAGUAACCUGCCCUUGACUUUGGGAUAACUUCAGGAAACUGGGGCUAAUACCGGAUAGGAGCUCCUGCUGCAUGGUGGGGGUUGGAAAGUUUCGGCGGUUGGGGAUGGACUCGCGGCUUAUCAGCUUGUUGGUGGGGUAGUGGCUUACCAAGGCUUUGACGGGUAGCCGGCCUGAGAGGGUGACCGGCCACAUUGGGACUGAGAUACGGCCCAGACUCCUACGGGAGGCAGAAGUGGGGAAUAUUGCACAAUGGGGGGAAGCCUGAUGCAGCAACGCCGCGUGCGGGAUGACGGCCUUCGGGUUGUAAACCCCUUUCGCCUGUAACGAAGCGUGAGUGACGGUAAUGGGUAAAGAAGCACCGGCUAACUACGU
Molecule: ribosomal RNA, 467 nt
Filed under: uncultured bacterium
Lineage: Bacteria
Description: partial 16S ribosomal RNA
Rfam family: Bacterial small subunit ribosomal RNA
Source: RNAcentral